CCUACGGGGGGCUGCAGUAAGGAAUAUUGCGCAAUGGGCGAAAGCCUGACGCAGCGACGCCGCGUGGGGGAUGAAGGUCUUCGGAUUGUAAACCCCUUUCGGGAGGGAAGAUGGAGCGAGCAAUCGUUCGGACGGUACCUCCAGAAGCAGCCACGGCCAACUUCGUGCCAGCAGCCGCGGUAAUACGAAGGUGGCAAGCGUUGUUCGGAUUCACUGGGCGUACAGGGUGUGUAGGCGGUUUGGUAAGCCUUCUGUUAAAGCUUCGGGCCCAACCCGGAAAGCGCAGAGGGUACUGCCAGGCUAGAGGGUGGGAGAGGAGCGCGGAAUUCCCGGUGUAGCGGUGAAAUGCGUAGAGAUCGGGAGGAAGGCCGGUGGCGAAGGCGGCGCUCUGGAACAUACCUGACGCUGAGGCACGAAAGCGUGGGGAGCAAACAGGAUUAGAUACCCCAGUAGUC
This 455-nucleotide ribosomal RNA is filed under the name uncultured Nitrospira sp. RNAcentral's name for it is "bacterial SSU rRNA". It matches the Rfam family "Bacterial small subunit ribosomal RNA", at positions 338 to 795 of the family's 1533-position model. The record is from RNAcentral. Lineage: Bacteria; Pseudomonadati; Nitrospirota; Nitrospiria; Nitrospirales; Nitrospiraceae.